This 700-nucleotide ribosomal RNA is filed under the name uncultured bacterium. Its description in RNAcentral is "bacterial SSU rRNA". It matches the Rfam family "Bacterial small subunit ribosomal RNA", at positions 200 to 914 of the family's 1533-position model. The record is from RNAcentral.
AUCAAAGCUCCGGCGGUACAGGAUGGACCCGCGUCUGAUUAGCUAGUUGGUAAGGUAACGGCUUACCAAGGCGACGAUCAGUAGCCGACCUGAGAGGGUGAUCGGCCACAUUGGAACUGAGAAACGGUCCCAGACUCCUACGGGAGGCAGCAGUGGGGAAUAUUGGGCAAUGGGCGAAAGCCUGACCCCAGCAACGCCGCGUGAGGGAAGAAGGGUUUCGGCUCGUAAACCUCUGUCCUAUGGGACGAAGGAAGUGACGGUACCAUAGGAGGAAGCCCCGGCUAACUACGUGCCAGCAGCCGCGGUAAUACGUAGGGGGCGAGCGUUGUCCGGAAUGAUUGGGCGUAAAGGGCGCGUAGGCGGCCUGCUAAGUCUGGAGUGAAAGUCCUGCUUUCAAGGUGGGAAUUGCUUUGGAUACUGGUGGGCUGGAGUGCAGGAGAGGAAAGCGGAAUUACCGGUGUAGCGGUGAAAUGCGUAGAGAUCGGUAGGAACACCAGUGGCGAAGGCGGCUUUCUGGACUGAAACUGACGCUGAGGCGCGAAAGCGUGGGGAGCAAACAGGAUUAGAUACCCUGGUAGUCCACGCCGUAAACGAUGACUACUAGGUGUCGGGUAGCAGAGCUAUUCGGUGCCGCAGCCAACGCAAUAAGUAGUCCACCUGGGGAGUACGUUCGCAGAGAAUGAAACUCAAAUGAAUUGAC